CGGGCGGAAUCCGAAAAGCCCUUCAAAGAGUAGGAA
This is a non-coding RNA of Bacteroides eggerthii 1_2_48FAA, 36 nucleotides long. NCBI's taxonomy places the organism in Bacteria, Pseudomonadati, Bacteroidota, Bacteroidia, Bacteroidales, Bacteroidaceae. The record is from Rfam.